GACGAACGCUGGCGGCGUGCCUAAUACAUGCAAGUCGAACGCAGUGGGGACGGGUGAGUAACACGUGGGUAACCUCCCAUCAGAGGGGAUAACACUUGGAAACAGGUGCUAAACCGAUACUGAUGGAUGGACCCGGUGGGGAUUAGCUAGUUGGUGGGGUAACGGCUCACCUAGGCCACGAUGCAUAGCGGGCCUGAGAGGGUGACCGGCCACACUGGGACUGAGACACGGCCCAGACUCCUACGGGAGGCAUCAGUGGGGAAUAUUCGGCAAUGGGCGAAAGUCUGACCGAGCAACGCCGCGUGGGUGAAGAAGGUUUUCGGGUCGUAAAAUUCUGUUGGUGGGGAAGCGGUAUCUAAACAAAAAGCAACGGCUAACUACGUGCCAGCAGCCGCGGUAAUAC
This 403-nucleotide ribosomal RNA is filed under the name uncultured bacterium. RNAcentral's name for it is "partial 16S ribosomal RNA". It matches the Rfam family "Bacterial small subunit ribosomal RNA", at positions 28 to 526 of the family's 1533-position model. The record is from RNAcentral.